RNAcentral lists this long non-coding RNA (568 nucleotides) under Coturnix japonica (Japanese quail). RNAcentral's name for it is "lncRNA (ENSCJPG00005009026.1)". Lineage: Eukaryota; Metazoa; Chordata; Aves; Galliformes; Phasianidae. The record is from RNAcentral.
UGUAAUAUUACACGCUUUUGAAGACUGCUGAGUGAAAGUAAUCAAAAAUAAAAUGGCACGUCCAUUUAAAGAAGUUGACUGACAAAGCGUUACCUGUUUCGUUUUGCUUUUUUCUUUCUAGUGUUACCUGCUCACACAUUGCACUGUUGACCUCUUACCACGAGUGAGGACAACUCUGGCCAGAAAAGGAAUCAGAAGAGUCCUGGUACCAAAAAUAAUCCAUCUAGAGCUCAGCAAAUGACUCACUGCAGUGAAGAUGCUUUGGCUCUCAGCUCUGAGGAGGCCGAGCUCUGAGAAGUUUCUGAGCACUGAGGAAGAGCAUCUAUCCCUGAUGUCACCUAGCUCUGAUUUCACAUUCUGGCUAUUCCUGUAUUUGCUGUAAUUGGAAGAAACAUGUAACUUUUUCAAUAUUUUCUUGUGAAAGAUGAUCUUGAUGCAGAUACAUCUCAAAAGUUGGAGUGUAUGAUGCCUCUUGAUCAACUGCUGGGACUGCCUUUGUACCUGGAUAUUUACAGUCAGUCUCUAUCCAGGGAAUAUAGCAACAAAAUCUUUCCAUGAGAGGGGCUAC